UGGGGAAUAUUGCGCAAUGGGCGAAAGCCUGACGCAGCAACGCCGCGUGAGUGAUGAAGGCCUUCGGGUCGUAAAGCUCUGUCGGAGGGAACGAAUGCUCCUGAAGUUAACAGCCUCAGGAGGUGACGGUACCCUCAAAGGAGCACCGGCUAACUCUGUGCCAGCAGCCGCGGUAAUACAGAGGGUGCAAGCGUUGUUCGGAAUCAUUGGGCGUAAAGGGCGUGUAGGCGGACUUAUAAGUCAGGUGUGAAAUCCCAGGGCUCAACCCUGGAAGUGCACUUGAUACUGCAAGUCUUGAGUGUGGUAGAGGCUAUUAGAAUUCCUGGUGUAGUGGUGAAAUACGUAGAUAUCAGGAGGAAUACCGGAGGCGAAGGCGGAUAGCUGGGCCAACACUGACGCUGAGACCCGAAAGCGUGGGGAUCAAACAGGAUUAGAUACCCCCGUAGUCCCUGAGCGGGCUGGCAAGGCGCAU
This 472-nucleotide ribosomal RNA is filed under the name uncultured bacterium. Its description in RNAcentral is "bacterial SSU rRNA". It matches the Rfam family "Bacterial small subunit ribosomal RNA", at positions 355 to 825 of the family's 1533-position model. The record is from RNAcentral.